RNAcentral lists this small RNA (27 nucleotides) under Bombyx mori (domestic silkworm). RNAcentral's name for it is "ovarian small RNA-8378". The record is from RNAcentral. Lineage: Eukaryota; Metazoa; Arthropoda; Insecta; Lepidoptera; Bombycidae.
UGAUGUCCUUGUAGGCGUAGAUGACUA